Molecule: long non-coding RNA, 5869 nt
Filed under: Malus domestica (apple)
Lineage: Eukaryota; Viridiplantae; Streptophyta; Magnoliopsida; Rosales; Rosaceae
Description: long non-coding RNA (MDOM_LNC014825)
Source: RNAcentral
AAAGAUAAUACCACCAACUAUGGGUGGCAAUUGAUUCUUGUGAUAACAUACUAUAAAGGUAAAGGUAUGGAUAAAAAAGAAAAUGCGUCCUUUGAAAGAUAUAGAACAAACUUGAAAUUCAAUGAAUUGUUCUUUUACAAAGCGCAUCACCAAACUUGAUUUCCCCAAGAAGCACCUAAAGAAGAACAUCAAACAUCACUGUGGUGAUCAUGACAUGCAAUACCCAAAGAAAAAUAAUUUAAGAAAAAAUAAACCUAUUCAUCACACAAUGCUAAAAUACAUAUGCCUACAUAUCCAUAAUUUCUAUGUUUACGGAACACCUUUCGAUAAGUCACAACCUUCAUUUUAAAAUGGACUUUUGUAUUUGUAUUUUGCUUGUGAGUAUGGUCUUGGUUAAAACUUCGCAUUCUAGCAUUUACUUAUAUGAUAUCAUAUAGCAAGAAAGCUAUGAGACCCAAGUCACAAUUUAUUGUAUUCUCAUAGACCCUCAAAAUACUAGAGCUAGACAAAGAUAAACAACACGAUAGAGAAACUUCUGCUUUACAUGUACAUUGACAUUUGCAUGUGCAAAGCUCUCUUUCCUCCUUUCCUUUCUUUUCUUCCUCACCUUUCGAAUCUUUCUCCUAGAUUAAGGAGAUUGUUGUUUUGUUGUUAGUGGUUGCCAUCAUCAUCACAUUGAAAUCAACUUUAGUUAAUACUAGCCUCCUGCACGCGCUCACGGGCGUGCGGAAGGCCCUUUUGUAAUUAAGGCAUUCUACGUGCGACUUAAAUAAUUUAAAUGAUAACAAAAGAGCGGUUGCUCUCUGAUCUAAUUGCAGACACAAUCUGCAGAACCGUCUUCUAUGGGAUUUGAACUUGUGAAGUGUGAGGUGGAGACCUGAAUGUAACAAAUUGGUGUUAAGUGAAUAAUUCCAAACAUAUAAAAUUUAGAUCAUCACACCGAACGCAAACAGAACAAUUAAAUAAACAACUGAAGGCAUACGCAAUCUAAUUAGACAAAUAAGUGAACUUUCCCAUGCCGAAAUCUGAAAGGCCAACAGAAAUAUCUCAUUACAGCACAGAAGACAAAACUUAGGACAAAACUUAAAACUAAUCAAACUUAGGUGAACCAAUUAUAGAGAACAUAACCCUUGUAACCAAUCGGGAAAAGAUGCUUUUAAAUCCCAGAAAAAAAAAUUAAGAGGAGUUUUUUAAAAAACCAUCAUUUCAAUUAUUUUCCAGUCUUACAUUUGGAUUAAACAGAAAAUAUAAGUAAAAAUGCCAACUUUCUAAAAAAACUACAACUAUUUUUACAAAUUUCCAUUACCCAAUGCUGAAAAAUGAGAAUCACGAAGCAAUGAAGAACGGAACACGCGAGAACCAAAAAGUUAAAAACAACACGUAACCAUUUCAAAGACCCAAAAUCCUGCAAGGACAAAAAAAUCCCAUAAAAUCAGUACAUCAGCACUCCCUGCAAAACCCCAAAAUCAGAAAAUUAUAAAAAGAACCCAAAAUCAGUGGCAUGGUCCUCGUUUCUCCAUCAUUCAGUAGCUAAUGACCUAAUGGAAAAGAACCCAAAACAUACAGCUUAAAAUAUGGAAAGUGCUUAUAAAAGCUCAUGAAUAACGUUCAAAGCCUGCAUAGAAAUGGUAUAGCGCAGAUAACAACAAACAAUAAAACUAUGCACAGUAUAACCUAAAUCCGAUAUGUUGCAUUCCCCACACACAGAUUGUUCAAAAUUAAUUUCGUCUCCGUCUUUUUUCAAAUCUGAUAAAAUCCCCAAAACACAAAAAAUAGCAGCUAACUAUUUUUUGAACUCUGUAAACAACGAUAUGCAUCUUAACCCAUUUAACAUAUUCAUAAAAUAACAUCAAACACAUUUAUGCAUGAGAUAAUAUAGAAGUGAAGUCUCACAACUUUCAUAAAAAAUUAUUACUUUGUUAGAGAAAGGCUUGAAAAAAUAUGUAAAUUACUCACCUCUAUUACAAAAAUGUUACAACAGUAGACAAAAAAGGCCAAAAAUACCAAAAGCCGCACCUCCUGAAAUAAAAAACAUAACCAAACGACACAUUCUCAGUAUCUAAACGAUAUCCAGAAAAAAAGAAAUGAACAGACGAAACCCAUGUAAAUAUACAGAACAAACCAAAAAAAAAAAAAAGAACUGAAGCCAGUAAGAAGAUCACAAAUCUGAUAAAGCAAAAGGUAACAUAAUCUAUAUCGAUUUAAUUAUCCAUCCAAAAAGACAUUUGAAUGAAGAACAUUUUUAAGGAUCCAAACAACCAUUAAACUAAACAAUUAAAAGUAAAAACAGCAAAGCAUUCAUUGAAGAAAUAUAUAUAUAUAUAUAUAUUAUAACGUAUUUUGUUCUUUAUACCUAAAAGAAAAACAUUGGCUUUCUUGUAUGCACUGAAGUAUGCAUGUGUCGGAAAUUUACAAUCUAUAGAGACUCAAUCUCAGACUCAAAAAGACAUCUAAAGGAAAAGUAAUAAGAAAAAUAAGUAGUGGUUUUACCUAUACUCCAUGUGUGGACUCCAAUUUUCAAUCACAAUUCAAAAUUCAAGAGGCCUAUAAAUCAACCACAUAGGAAAUGAUCAGUGGAAGAAAAAGAAAAACAACUGAAGCCAAAAUAGCAUCUAACAAAUCAUUUAGAACCAUCACAGAAAACAAUUUUUGCAUAUAAGUAAUUUAAAGGAAUACCAUCAGGUCAUGCAUAUAUACAACGUACCCAAUUAGAUAAGUAGCACAUCAACAAUUGAUGAUCAAAAAGUUAGUCAGCCUCAAUUGCUUGAAUCUAAUUAACUCAAAGAUAAUAAACAGUCCAUUUAAUGCACGGGCUGACUAUCAAUUUUAUAAAGCUAUAAUUCUGUGCAGUUCAAAAACCAAGUGGAAGAAUAGGCAAAAACUAUCUCAUCGCCUGUAAAUGUAAUUAACUAAAUAUUAAACUUCACAGCCACAAAUAAACCUAAAUUCCUCCUAAAACUAUCUCAUUUAAGCUUGAUUUUACUAUAAUCUAUAAGUGUGGUAAAAAAUGGGAGGCCAAACGAUUUGUUAACAAAAAAGGUAGACAUAAAAGUAAAAGGAACAGGGCAGACAUUAGUUGAGGAGAAGCUAAUGUCACCUUGAAUUGACGACAAACAGUUCUUAUCUUCUCGAAUUAACGAAGAUAAGUACCAUUUUUCUUUAAUUCAAGGUAAUAUAAAAAGAAAUUAUACCUGUACAGUGUUCAGAUGUAGCAAUCCUAUGCAAUCGGCCAAAUGAUGUGUGUCCUCUCAAAGAUCUGUAUAUCCAUUACAGACUAAUCUUCAGUCUUGCAGAAAAUGAUAUGUUGACUACAAUUUCCCAUACUACUAAAAAACACAAAUAAUUCUAUCUACAAACCAAAUAAUAUGUGCAACUUUAUGCUACAAUGGUAGAAUAAGAUGGUUGUACAGGACGACACAAAGAUUGAGACUUUUUUUUACUUCUAAAAUUCUACACACUUUCGAGCCCUAAAUUUUCCCGGAAACAAAAAAAAGUGAAAGAAGUCGUACCUGGUUUGAGAGAGUGGGACACCAUCGGCGAGUUUGGUGUAGCAGUGAUGGCGGAGAUCUCUGGUGAGAAAGCUAAUAAGAUGGACAAAAUCAUUGAACAAAAAAAACCUCGCUUUUUAAAAUUAAAGUCAACAAAAAUUUGAACAAAGAAAAGAGAACUCAAACCCGAAACAAAUAAGUCGGAGAACUCGCCAGGAAACCCAAAGUUUCUGCAGGAUUGGCGAUUUCCUGAAAACCAAGCUUUUGUAGGUUUAAAAUUUCUUCCCUAAGGCAACAGAUCCAACAUUCCCAACUUUAGCUAUUUCAGCUACAUAAUAGAAAGAAAAAAAAAUUUAUAUAAUUAACUAAUCUGAUUUAAGAUUAAUCGAAAAGCUUGGAAAUUUCAGCUUUAAAAUUACAUGUCAGGCUGCAAAUCUAAUAAAAAGCGUAGAAUUUUAAAAAUGCUGACCUUAAAUACAGAGGCCUUCGCAGGCUGCAAAGAAGCGUUAGAAACCCGAAAAACCGGAUCUCCUGAAACCAAAAACAAAACCAAAUUAACCAUCAUCACCCAUAAUUCGAAGCCACAAACAUAAUCCCCAAAAUUACAACCCAAAAAUUUAAACAAAAAAACCCAUUUAUAAAUCCAAAUUUACACUCCCAAGUGCAAGACUCUAAGCUCCAACUGUUCUUUCUCAACUUUAGCUAUUUCAGCAACAUAACAUAAAUAAAAAGGUCGUACCCAGUGCACAAGGCUCCCGCUUUACGCAGGGUCUGGGAGAGGUGAAUGUCGGCUAGCCUUACCCCCAUUUUAUGGAGAGGCUGCUCCCAAGUCUCGAACCCGAGACCUACCGCUCAUGGGCGAAGACACUUGCCAUCGCACCAAGUGCGACCUCUAGCAACAUAACAUAAAUAAAAAGAUCGUACCCAGUGCACAAGGCUCCCGCUUUACGCAGGGUCUGGGAGAGGUGAACGUCGGCUAGCCUUACCCCCAUUUUAUGAAGAGGCUGGAACAUAACAUAAAUAAAUAAACAAAAUUAAUUUAACUAUAAUUAACUAAUAUGAUUUAAGAUUAAUCAAAAAACUUGGAAAUCUGCUUGAAUCCAAUCUCAAAAUUGAAAACGAACACUUCACUUUUACAAAAGUUGUACAAAGCAAAAAAAAAAAAACAGACAAAUCAAAGUCUCACAAAGGGCCACAACGACAGCAAAAUUGCAACAGAAAGAGGAAAAAUGUUCAAUCAAACCAUUGGAUAACUCUUCUAAGGCAGCCAAAAAAAAACCCACAAAUUCAAAACCACAAAAAUCCAAUCUAAAACAUCGAUUCACAGACUGAGAUGCACAAAAUGAUAUAUUAACAAAUCCAAAACGAAAUACAAAAAUUAAGAACCAACAAGCAAAAAAAUACUGAUUAUCCCCUGCAUACGUGAGCACACGUUCAAAAAGCCUCUCAAAGGCUGAGAUUCAACUUUCAAACAUAAAGACUUUAAGCCACAAUUGUUCUUUCUUAACUUUAGCUACUUCAGUUACAUAAUCGGAAAAAAAAAAUUAUUUAAUUAUAGUUAACUAAUCUGGGUUAAGAUUAAUAAAAAAGCUUGGAAAUUUCAGAUCUAAAAUCACACCUCAGGCUGCAAGUAGAAUCAAAACCAUGGAAUUUCAAAAUCACUGACCUUAAACACACAGGUCUUCGCAGGCUUCAAAGAAAAGUCACAAACUCGAAAAACCCAAUCUCCUGAAAUCGAAAACAAAACCAAAUUAACCAUCAUCACCUAGAAUCCGAAGCUACAAAACAAAAUUCCCAAAAUCAAAACCAAAAAAUUUGAACAAAAAACUCAUUUAAUAUCCAAAUUUACACUCCCAAGCACAUAACAUUCAAAGCAGACAAUUACCCAAAUCAAAUCGACAGCAGGAGAUGCAAUCUUUUAUGGGCUUCAAAUUUUCUUCAAACCGAGACCAAAUUCGCUAGUUUUCAGCAAGAGAGCGUUGCCGUUUGUAACCCCCGAUGAAAAGAUCCAAACAAAUUUGACUAACAGUAGACAGAGAGAGAGAGAGAUAGAGAGAGAGAGGUGAAAAUUACUCGCUGGUGACGAAGCUAAUGAAUUCGGAGACGCAUUCCUGGACGGUGUUCGACUGAUCGGCACGAGUAGAGACACCAGAUCAGAAAGACAGAAAAAUUAGGGUUUGGGAGAUAAAGAAACUGGGGCAGAGAGAGAGGGAAAGAGAAGCAGAAAAGAGGAUAAUUUUAUGCAUUUUUUUUAGCCGCUUUGAAUUUUUUUUGGCCGACAGGCAUUUGCGUCCGAUUAUUUUUGUCGAAGCCGGUGACACCAAAACCGGCCUCCGGCUUUCGGACCAGGAUUGUCUGCCCCUUCAUUUUCCCUGCCAUGU